AGUAACGCGUGGGUAACCUGCCUCAUACAGGGGAUAACAGUUAGAAAUGACUGCUAAUACCGCAUAAGCGCACAGAAUCGCAUGAUUCGGUGUGAAAAACUCCGGUGGUAUGAGAUGGACCCGCGUCUGAUUAGCUAGUUGGUGGGGUAAAGGCCUACCAAGGCGACGAUCAGUAGCCGACCUGAGAGGGUGAUCGGCCACAUUGGGACUGAGACACGGCCCAAACUCCUACGGAAGGCAGCAG
This 244-nucleotide ribosomal RNA is filed under the name uncultured bacterium. RNAcentral describes it as "partial 16S ribosomal RNA". It matches the Rfam family "Bacterial small subunit ribosomal RNA", at positions 109 to 354 of the family's 1533-position model. The record is from RNAcentral.